AUUGAACGCUGGCGGCAGGCCUAACACAUGCAAGUCGAGCGGAUGAAGGGAGCUUGCUCCUGGAUUCAGCGGCGGACGGGUGAGUAAUGCCUAGGAAUCUGCCUGGUAGUGGGGGAUAACGUCCGGAAACGGGCGCUAAUACCGCAUACGUCCUGAGGGAGAAAGUGGGGGAUCUUCGGACCUCACGCUAUCAGAUGAGCCUAGGUCGGAUUAGCUAGUUGGUGGGGUAAAGGCCUACCAAGGCGACGAUCCGUAACUGGUCUGAGAGGAUGAUCAGUCACACUGGAACUGAGACACGGUCCAGACUCCUAAGGGAGGCAGCAGUGGGGAAUAUUGGACAAUGGGCGAAAGCCUGAUCCAGCCAGGCCGCGUGUGUGAAGAAGGUCUUCGGAUUGUAAAGCACUUUAAGUUGGGAGGAAGGGCAGUAAGUUAAUACCUUGCUGUUUUGACGUUACCAACAGAAUAAGCACCGGCUAACUUCGUG
This 484-nucleotide ribosomal RNA is filed under the name uncultured bacterium. RNAcentral's name for it is "partial 16S ribosomal RNA". It matches the Rfam family "Bacterial small subunit ribosomal RNA", at positions 30 to 507 of the family's 1533-position model. The record is from RNAcentral.